UUUCCGUAGGUGAACCCGCGGGAGGAUCAUUAAUGAGUUGUCAUGGGGUUCGAUGCUGGCAGCCAGUUUUUGGAUGCAUGUGCUUGCCCUAACAAUCAUCUUCUUCCAAACACCUGUGCACAUUUUUGAGGGAGUCUUGAGUUGGUUGCCGCUCUUGGGUGAUUUUCUCACAUUCCCUUAAAUCAUUAUACGCUAUUAACAAUGUUGAACGUGCUCUGUGCCGCAAGGCCAUUAAUAUAAUACAACUUUUAACAACGGAUCUCUUGGCUCUC
This 272-nucleotide unclassified non-coding RNA is filed under the name plant metagenome. Its description in RNAcentral is "partial contains small subunit ribosomal RNA, internal transcribed spacer 1, and 5.8S ribosomal RNA". The record is from RNAcentral.